AGGAUCAACGCUGGCGGCGUGCCUAAUGCAUGCAAGUCGAACGGGGGUUCCUUCGGGAACCUUACGUGGCGGACGGGUGAGGAACACGUGGCCAAUCUGCCCACUGGCAGGGGGUAGCCGGCGGAAACGCCGGGUAAUUCCGUAUGAGCUCAGGGUCCGAGUGGGGAUGGCUGAGGAAAGGGUCUUCGGACUCGCCGGUGGAGGAGGCUGCGGCCGAUUAGCUAGUUGGUGGGGUAACGGCCUACCAAGGCGAUGAUCGGUAGCUGGUCUGAGAGGAUGAUCAGCCACACGGGGACUGAGACACGGCCCCGACUCCUACGGGAGGCAGGCAGCAAGGAAUUUCCGCAAUGGGCGAAAGCCUGACGGAGCAACGCCGCGUGCGGGAUGACGCUUUUCGGAGUGUAAACCGCUGUCGUGGGACGAAGCACUGACGCACCGAGGAGAAGGCCCGCUAACUACGUGCCAGCAGCCGC
Molecule: ribosomal RNA, 473 nt
Filed under: uncultured soil bacterium
Lineage: Bacteria
Description: bacterial SSU rRNA
Rfam family: Bacterial small subunit ribosomal RNA
Source: RNAcentral